Molecule: long non-coding RNA, 832 nt
Organism: Amphiprion ocellaris (clown anemonefish)
Lineage: Eukaryota; Metazoa; Chordata; Actinopteri; Pomacentridae
Exons: 3
Source: RefSeq, a predicted model, not a curated record
AGGCAGCAGGGACUCUGCUCUCCUCGUUUGGAUUAAUUCUGAUAUAAUAACUGUUGGUUUAUUUAUCGGUGGAGCAGCAGAACCUUUUCCACAGACAGUUUUUCUGCCCGUUGUCUUGUUUUAACCAGUUUUCUACCUUCGGCUGAUUCUACCAGCAGACACUGAAAGGUCUGUGAUAGUUCGAGUGAAAGUAGCAGUUCCUCCUGAAGGUCAGAGAUUGCAGCAUCUGAGGGCCUCUUCAAAAGAAGACGUAGUUGAUGAAGGCGUUCUGGAGCAGGACCAGAAAGACCACGACCAAGCAGCCUUGAGAUCUUAGACAGCGUCUCCCUGAGGUCCCUCUCUAUCUCCCUACACAUCCACCAACCACUGGAACACAUCUCCAAAGUUCUACUGGGCCAGCUCAGCUUCCCCUCAGAAGAAGUGCUGCCACCUGCCAGAUGAAGGAGCCUUUUGAGAGGCAGCUGGCAUCGUGAUUGGACUGUACUUUGGUCUGUUCCAAUCCAGCUUCAGCUCCAGAGACGGCAGGCGGGACGAGUCAACGGAGGCCGGGUGGACGAAGGCAUGCAGCUGAGUACAAUCCAGAAAACAACAGAGGAGGAGUGCAGGGGUCCAGGGCCAAAACAGAGUAGCAUCGUAUGUCUCUUAGAAAACAUCAUAGUAUAGCCUUUGCUAUGAAAAAACGCUAUCAUAUACAUCGUGUAUUGUACAAAUAACAAGUCAAAGGAAAGAGACAUACAUUGUAGAAUUGUAGUAAUUGUGGGCUGACUGAUUUACUGAUUAUCAGUAUUUUAUUUUUUACUGAUUUAUGGUAAUAAAUACAUUUUAAAAUGGU